CCUACGGGAGGCAGCAGUGAGGAAUAUUGGUCAAUGGACGAGAGUCUGAACCAGCCAAGUAGCGUGAAGGAUGACUGCCCUAUGGGUUGUAAACUUCUUUUAUAUGGGAAUAAAAUGUUCCACGUGUGGGAUUUUGUAUGUACCAUAUGAAUAAGGAUCGGCUAACUCCGUGCCAGCAGCCGCGGUAAUCCGGAGGAUCCGAGCGUUAUCCGGAUUUAUUGGGUUUAAAGGGAGCGUAGGUGGAUUGUUAAGUCAGUUGUGAAAGUUUGCGGCUCAACCGUAAAAGUGCAGUUGAAACUGGCAGUCUUGAGUACAGUAGAGGUGGGCGGAAUUCGUGGUGUAGCGGUGAAAUGCUUAGAUAUCACGAAGAACGCCGAUUGCGAAGGCAGUUCACUGGACUGCAACUGACACUGAGGCUCGAAAGUGUGGGUAUCAAACAGGAUUAGAUACCCUUGUAGUC
RNAcentral lists this ribosomal RNA (460 nucleotides) under uncultured bacterium. RNAcentral describes it as "partial 16S ribosomal RNA". It matches the Rfam family "Bacterial small subunit ribosomal RNA", at positions 338 to 795 of the family's 1533-position model. The record is from RNAcentral.